AUCGUUUAUCCCAUUUUGGGACGGAAGUAGGCAAUCGCCGAAGAAACGCACC
The submitters of this non-coding RNA (52 nucleotides) gave its source as unclassified sequences. The record is from Rfam.